RNAcentral lists this transfer RNA (71 nucleotides) under Pumilibacter muris. It matches the Rfam family "tRNA". From Rfam's summary of the family: Transfer RNA (tRNA) molecules are approximately 80 nucleotides in length. Their secondary structure includes four short double-helical elements and three loops (D, anti-codon, and T loops). The record is from RNAcentral. Lineage: Bacteria; Bacillati; Bacillota; Clostridia; Eubacteriales; Pumilibacteraceae. RNAcentral also lists the same sequence under 4 other names.
GGGAUAUAGCACAGUUGGUAGCGCGAUACGUUCGCAACGUAUAGGUCAGGGGUUCGAAUCCCCUUAUCUCC